GACGAACGCUGGCGGCGUGCUUAACACAUGCAAGUCGAGCGGUAAGGCCCUUUCGGGGUACACGAGCGGCGAACGGGUGAGUAACACGUGGGUGACCUGCCCUCAGCUCUGGGUAUAAGCCUGGGAAACCGGGUCUAAUACCGGAUAUGACUCCAUGACGCAUGUUGUGGGGUGGAAAGCCUUGUGCGGCUGAGGAUGGGCCCGCGGCCUAUCAGCUUGUUGGUGGGGUGAUGGCCUACCAAGGCGACGACGGGUAGCCGGCCUGAGAGGGCGACCGGCCGACACUGGGACUGAGACACGGCCCAGACUCCUACGGGAGGCAGCAGUGGGGAAUCUUGCGCAAUGGGCGAAAGCCUGACGCAGCGACGCCGCGUGAGGGAUGACGGCCU
This 389-nucleotide ribosomal RNA is filed under the name uncultured bacterium. Its description in RNAcentral is "bacterial SSU rRNA". It matches the Rfam family "Bacterial small subunit ribosomal RNA", at positions 28 to 417 of the family's 1533-position model. The record is from RNAcentral.